GAUGAACGCUGGCGGCGUGCCUAAUACAUGCAAGUCGAGCGAACGGACGAGAAGCUUGCUUCUCUGAUGUUAGCGGCGGACGGGUGAGUAACACGUGGAUAACCUACCUAUAAGACUGGGAUAACUUCGGGAAACCGGAGCUAAUACCGGAUGAUAUUUUGAACCGCAUGGUUCAAAAGUGAAAGACGGUCUUGCUGUCACUUAUAGAUGGAUCCGCGCUGCAUUAGCUAGUUGGUAAGGUAACGGCUUACCAAGGCAACGAUGCAUAGCCGACCUGAGAGGGUGAUCGGCCACACUGGCACUGAGACACGGUCCAGACUCCUACGGGAGGCAGCAGUAGGGAAUCUUCCGCAAUGGGCGAAAGCCUGACGGAGCAACGCCGCGUGAGUGAUGAAGGUCUUCGGAUCGUAAAACUCUGUUAUUAGGGAAGAACAUAUGUGUAAGUAACUGUGCACAUCUUGACGGUACCUAAUCAGAAAGCCACGGCUAACUACGUG
Molecule: ribosomal RNA, 497 nt
Filed under: uncultured bacterium
Lineage: Bacteria
Description: partial 16S ribosomal RNA
Rfam family: Bacterial small subunit ribosomal RNA
Source: RNAcentral